This 498-nucleotide ribosomal RNA is filed under the name uncultured bacterium. Its description in RNAcentral is "bacterial SSU rRNA". It matches the Rfam family "Bacterial small subunit ribosomal RNA", at positions 28 to 523 of the family's 1533-position model. The record is from RNAcentral.
GAUGAACGCUAGCGGCAGGCCUAAUACAUGCAAGACGAACGGUAAGUUGAGUAGCAAUACUUAGCCAAGAGUGUCGUACGGGUGCGUAACACGUAUGCAACCUACCCUAUACAGGAGGAUAGCCUAGGGAAACCUGGAUUAACCCUUCAUAGUAUUAUUGGAUGGCAUCAUUUGAUAAUUAAAACUGAGGUGGUAUAGGAUGGGCAUGCGUCUGAUUAGUUAGUUGGCGGGGUAAUGGCCCACCAAGACGAUGAUCAGUAGGGGUUCUGAGAGGAAGAUCCCCCACACUGGCACUGAGAUACGGGCCAGACUCCUACGGGAGGCAGCAGUAGGGAAUAUUGGUCAAUGGAUGCAAGUCUGAACCAGCCAUGCCGCGUGCAGGAAGAAGGCCUUCUGGGUUGUAAACUGCUUUUGCCAGGGGAUAAAAUUUCCAUGCGUGGAAACUGAAGGUACCUGGUGAAUAAGCCACGGCUAACUACGUGCCAGCAGCCGCGGUAU